This 75-nucleotide transfer RNA is filed under the name Parafannyhessea umbonata. RNAcentral describes it as "tRNA-Val". It matches the Rfam family "tRNA". Rfam says of the family: Transfer RNA (tRNA) molecules are approximately 80 nucleotides in length. Their secondary structure includes four short double-helical elements and three loops (D, anti-codon, and T loops). Lineage: Bacteria; Bacillati; Actinomycetota; Coriobacteriia; Coriobacteriales; Atopobiaceae. The record is from RNAcentral. RNAcentral also lists the same sequence under 7 other names.
GGGCGAUUAGCUCAGGGGUAGAGCACUUCCUUCACACGGAAGGGGUCGCUGGUUCAAAUCCAGCAUCGCCCACCA